RNAcentral lists this small RNA (127 nucleotides) under Marmota monax (woodchuck). The record is from RNAcentral. Lineage: Eukaryota; Metazoa; Chordata; Mammalia; Rodentia; Sciuridae.
GCCGGGCGCGGUGGUGCACACCUGUAAUCCCAGCAGCUCCGGAGGCUGAGGCAGGAGGAUUGCAGGUUCAAAGCCAGCCUCAGCAACUUAAGGAGACCCUAAGCAACCUAGCAAGACCCUGUCUCUA